RNAcentral lists this unclassified non-coding RNA (734 nucleotides) under Hevea brasiliensis (rubber tree). Lineage: Eukaryota; Viridiplantae; Streptophyta; Magnoliopsida; Malpighiales; Euphorbiaceae. The record is from RNAcentral.
AAUAAAUAGCUUCAUCAUCAUACCUAGAAUUGAAAGAAAAUAAAAACUUAAUAAUGCUAACAAAUGCACUGGCAUAGAUUUUUAGAGGAGAGUCCUAAACCACGAAACAAGUACUCCAAAAAGGAAGAUCAGAUGAUACAUCCCAAGUAGAAAACCACAAGAAAAUUGCAUCGAAAGCUAAUGAAGAGAUGCUUAGAGAAUAAGCUGCUUAUCUGGUCAUAGAAGACAGCUACUGGAUCAAAGUGACAUAUAUAUCUAAAGGUUGGGAUAAGAGAAAAUGAUCAAUGAAAACAAUGAACACUUUAACAUAUGAAAGCUCAAACAUUACCACAGAGAAGUCGACUAGAUCAGUAUCCAACCUAUAAACCACCGGAUAUUUUAUAACCCAGCAUGCUAAGAGUAUUCCAUCCCAGUAGUUAUUUUUGUUACCACUUUUGAGUUUUUAUGAAAAGAAAUUCCAUCUACUUUCCUAAUAUUACCACAUUGGAAGAAACAAGUAGAAAAGAACACAAAUCCAUCAAUUUAUAAACACCGUGAAGAAAUAGAGAUACCAAAUCUGCCACAGCUUAACGCAGCACCAUAAAGCUGUCUAUCCCAGAUUGAAUUACUUUAGUAGCACAGCCACUGUUGAAGUAUAAAUUGGAUUGAAAGAAAACACUUACUCUGACAGACAAGCAUUUAGGGUUGAACUAAGCUUCUUUCCAAAUCCAGAGACAGGGCUAGAUUGUACAGAC